UACGGGAGGCAGCAGUGGGGAAUAUUGCACAAUGGGCGCAAGCCUGAUGCAGCCAUGCCGCGUGUAUGAAGAAGGCCUUCGGGGCUGUAAAGUACUUUCAGUCGUGAGGAAGGUGUUAAGGUUAAUAACCUUAGCAAUUGACGUUAGCGACAGAAGAAGCACCGGCUAACUCCGUGCCAGCAGCCGCGGUAAUACGGAGGGUGCGAGCGUUAAUCGGAAUUACUGGGCGUAAAGGGCACGCAGGCGGUUAAUUAAGUUGGAUGUGAAAUCCCCGGGCUUAACCUGGGAAUGGCAUUCAAGACUGGUUAGCUAGAGUCUUGUAGAGGGGGUAGAAUUCCAUGUGUAGCGGUGAAAUGCGUAGAGAUGUGGAGGAAUACCGGGUGGCGAAGGCGGCCCCUGGGACAAAGGACUGACGCUCAUGUGCGAAAGCGUGGGGAGCGAAACAGGGAUUAGAUACC
This 458-nucleotide ribosomal RNA is filed under the name uncultured bacterium. RNAcentral's name for it is "bacterial SSU rRNA". It matches the Rfam family "Bacterial small subunit ribosomal RNA", at positions 340 to 786 of the family's 1533-position model. The record is from RNAcentral.